GACGUAGGGCGCGAGCGUUGUCCGGAUUUAUUGGGCGUAAAGAGCUCGUAGGCGGUUUGUCGCGUCUGCCGUGAAAGUCCGGGGCUCAACCUCGGGCCUGCAGUCGAUACGGGCAGGCUAGAGUUCGGUAGGGGAGACUGGAAUUCCUGGUGUAGCGGUGAAAUGCGCAGAUAUCAGGAGGAACACCGGUGGCGAAGGCGGGUCUCUGGGCCGAAACUGACGCUGAGGAGCGAAAGCGUGGGGAGCGAACAGG
This 253-nucleotide ribosomal RNA is filed under the name uncultured bacterium. Its description in RNAcentral is "partial 16S ribosomal RNA". It matches the Rfam family "Bacterial small subunit ribosomal RNA", at positions 524 to 776 of the family's 1533-position model. The record is from RNAcentral.